This 616-nucleotide long non-coding RNA is filed under the name Monodelphis domestica (gray short-tailed opossum). Its description in RNAcentral is "lncRNA (ENSMODG00000044654.1)". Lineage: Eukaryota; Metazoa; Chordata; Mammalia; Didelphimorphia; Didelphidae. The record is from RNAcentral.
CCCAAAUGAAACUCAUUCUUUAUGCCACUACCAAAUUAGUGUUGCUGAAACAGAGAUCUAGUCAUUUCCCUGCAGCUUAGACUGUUUGAGAGCUGCCUGUGGGUAGAGAGAGGUUAAAUGGUUUGCCAAGGACCACACAUACAGAUAUUAUGUCAAGAGGUGGGCAGGGAUCACAGUCUUUCUAGCCAGAACUCCCUGUCAUCUACACCAAGUUGCUCUAGAGGUGACACCCCCUAAACACCCUCUUUUGGACCAAUAGAAUCUUUAGAGAAAGCGGAUGCCACAGGUGAAGAAGACCUUUGAUAGACUGGAGAGGACCUGAGGAAGGAAACCAGGAUGGUCUUCCUGACUCCAUUGUGUCACCUAGUGUGGAAGAGGCAUGAAGGAAGAAAGAAUUUUCAUGCAUGCAAGACAGAAAGCUGGGGACAUCAUCUGUCAAUCAAGGUGAACAUUCAAAAUAGAAUGUUCCCAGGAAAGUCAGUUGGAACCUAGCCAGGAGAUGAACUGAGAGACUGCCUUGGCUUCUGACCAAGGGAGAGACUGGCUUUUUAUGACUAGGCUGAGGCUUUGGUGUGGCUGAUGUUGGUGAUUGAGCAUUAUAUACUGGGCUGAUUAG